This 2578-nucleotide long non-coding RNA is filed under the name Sus scrofa (pig). RNAcentral describes it as "lncRNA (ENSSSCG00060065994.1)". Lineage: Eukaryota; Metazoa; Chordata; Mammalia; Artiodactyla; Suidae. The record is from RNAcentral.
AGGAAAUGACUAUACCGUGGUGCUUAAGGAGAGCAGAACUUGUGUUUAAGUGUGUCAAAGGUUUCAUGAUGGAAAUGGCCUCAUGGGAUGGAGGAAUUUCUAGAACAGUGCAAUUUCUGGUACCACAGAGCAUUUCUGAAGAAAUGUUUUAUCAACUUAGUAACAUGCUUCCCCAGAUCUUCCGCGUAUCGUCAACACUGACCCUGACCUCUAAGCACUAGACCCUCGUAGACCAACCCGCUGGCAGAAGAGGAUUGUUUAACACUCCAGGAAUCUGAGCCAUGCUGGGAUUCUGUCAAGCAAAAGAUGCCCAGAAGGAGGACCUGCAAUCCAAUCCGCAAAUCCAAUCAUGACAAAUGUCUGUUAAACAGUCCAAAAAUCCAUGCUAAUCAGCCCUUACUUUAUACAUUUAGUCUUAAAGCUUCUUUAUGGGGGAAAAAAGUCUUUUUUUCCUACGGUUGUGUCCUAUCUGUGAAUAUUAGUGAGUUAAAACUAGGUGUAUAUCACACAUGGACACUAGAUGUAGAUCUUUCACUACAUUUUCAUGGAGAUAUUUGACUUGCCCAAAAGGUUUGGAUCACAUCCGGGACAAGGCUUAAUUAACAUACAAAUAAAAUCUUCCCUCUACCUUAUUUGCCAAGCGAAAAUUAAAAGACAAUGAAAUAUACGUGGCAAGUAUGGAUUUCUUGUGAUAAUCUUUUCAUAGAAACACAAAUACAUGAGACAAACGUGAUUCUUCUUUUUAAAUUCCAUUUCAGAAACUCGUUUUUAAUGUACUCUUUCUAGGUUUUAGAAGUUAAGAAUCAGAAAAAGACUGGAUUCUUUGCCCCCGUCUCAUCUUCCCUUUGUGACCUUGCCCUUGCCUGUUAAUACUGUUUCGUGGGCUGGGAAACCAGUGUGCCUGUACGCAGGCCUGGUGGAAGUUGGUCUGAACCAGCACAUGGUGGUAUUUUCAUUCUCAUCCACAUGGUGACCAUCAGACAGUAAGUAUCCUUCCCAUUUCUCUGCCCUGCUUCCCACAUUCUGCUUCCUGCAUUACUUUGCUGAUAACUACGUCCCCAUUUCUGUCUCUGCCGUUUCUCCACUUUUUCCAUUGUCUUUCCUUAGAACGACUUCCUUAGAUACUUAUGCACAUCUCACUUAUCUAUCCCAUCUAGAACAUAGUUACUCUGAGUAGGGACUACAUCACAUAAAGGCAUUUAUAGAAGCAAUGAUUUCAUCAAAUCCAAGUUGCAUGGAAGUUGUGAUUGGCCAGCUGAGUGAAGUGGAGAACCUCUGACAUCAUCAUAAGAUGGUAGAUCUUUUAUAUCUUUCUAUCUAUACAUAAACUAUAUAUAUAUAUAUAGUUGGUUGUAAAUACAUGAAGUAUAGUCAAUUUACAAUGUUUCUGGUGUAUAGCAAAGUGUUUCAGACACACACACACACACACACGCUUUCCUUUUUGUACUCUCUUCCAUUAUGGUUUAUUGUAAGAUACUGAAGGAGUUCCCAUAGUGGCUCAGCAGAAAUGAAUCUGACUAGUAUCCAUGAGGAUGCAGGUAUGACGCCUGGCUUCACUUAACAGGUUAAGAAUCUGGCAUUGCUGUGGCUGAUGGCGUAGGCCGGCAGCUACAGCCCCAAUUCGACCCCUAGCCUAGAAACCUCCAUAUGCCGCAGGUACGGCCCUAAAGAGACCAAAGGGGAAAAAAAAAUUAUGUGCAUAUAUAUAUAUAAAAUAUGGUUCCCUGUGCUAUACAGUAGGACUUUGUGGUCUAUUUAUUUUAUAUGUAGUAAUUUAUAUCUGCUAACCCAAACUCCUAAUUUAUCCCUUCCCCACCCCUUUUCCCCUUUGGUAACCACUGUUUUGUUUUCUGUGUCUCUGAGUCUGUUUUCUGUUUUGUAAAUAAGUUCAAUUCAGAUAAGUAUAUGUUGAUUCGAAGAAAUAGAAAGCACUCUAUUCAUAUGCCUAAAAGUAAAAAUUUAUGGAAACUCUUUUGAUGCACAAAAUGCUUUCUCAUAACACAGAAUGUGUCUUUAUUUUCUACUCAAGGAAAGGACUGUCCAGUAAUGACCCUAAGGGAACACCUACCCCAGACCGUGUCUCUUACUAAUGCUUUGUAAAUCCUUCUCCAAGGAACCUGAUGAUCCCACCAAGAAGAAGGUAGGUGCCUGCUCUUGGAACAAGAAAUUGGCUUCCAGGCACGAAUGCUACCAUAGAGGCUGAUUCUAACACAAAGCAAGGUAGACAGAAAACUGGGGUGUGCUAGAACAGUGUCAGGAUGUUGGGAUUGGUAGUCUGACAGGUUGAGUUGGAGGUGGGUGUAGUGGGAUCAAUAAAAGGCAUUCAAUGUAUGCCUGUUCAAUCAACUAGGAGUUUGGGACUGGCAGAUACAAACUACUAUAUAAAAUAAAGACACACUGUCCUUUAUAUCACGGGAAACUGUAUUCAAUAUCUUGUAAUAGAAUAUAAUGGAAAAAAAUUGAAAAAGAAAAAAAUAGACAUAUAUGAGAAUCACUUUGCUGUACACCAGAAACUGAAACAACAUUGCACACCAACUGUACUGCCAUAAAUGAAAAAUUUGAAAAUUAAAAAAAAUUU